Long non-coding RNA from Scatophagus argus, 6920 nucleotides. RefSeq lists it as uncharacterized. Lineage: Eukaryota; Metazoa; Chordata; Actinopteri; Scatophagidae. The transcript is spliced from 5 exons. The record is from RefSeq and is a predicted model, not a curated record.
GUUCGCCGAAAGCUCUCAGGUCCGACAGAGUAAAGAAAUGAAAAAGAAAAUGACUAAACGGAAUUUUGGUGGACCAUCCCCAGCCGUGGGCCCCUAGAAUCAUCAACACCUUUCACCUCACCGCUAGUGAUGGAGCAAAGAUGCAGGACAGUCUCAACGUCAUAUUAUGGCCGCAGAAGCAAACAGCACAGAAAGACGUCGACAUGUUUAGCUAAGAGACAGAUCUACACUUUCAGAAGCUGAGGGCCUUGCACUGUGGGAUGGAUUUCAUGCUCCGGGUUGGCACAAAACCAGGACUGAGAGUGGGCCUGGAAUCCUGCAGGAAUGAAAGCAGUCAGCGUGUCGGCGGGUAAUGACAGAGGAAGUGACGUCUGACAACUAUGGCCUGCCACCGCGGUUGGUUCUAUAAGAGCAGAAGGAGGUGGUCACGUCUCAACGCUAAUGGAGGAGGAGAAAAUGGCCGUGUCAGUCCUGUCAACGUAUUAUGUUUUAAGCCUAGACAGUUGUUGUCGCUCUUGCAGGCCCAUAAUUUUAUGCCAUUAAAAGUGCCAAGGAGGAAAGAGUGAGGGAAGAAGGAAGGGAGGUGGAGGGUGGGCUCUGAAGUGAAAGCAGUUGUAGGGGGUUUUCUACCUCUUGUUCCCUUCAUGCCUGAUUCCCUGCUACUUUUGUGCUGGAAACUUUUGGCAUUUCUUGAAAGCAUAAAGACUAGUUGGGGCUUUAAAGUGAUCAUAAAGUCAAUCAUGUUGGCUUGAAUUACCCAGCAAUCUCUGUCAGUUAGUCCGCUCUUAGCCACUACGGCAUGAGAUGUGUGUGGGAGUGGGGUGUAGACAUGUGCCUGUGUGUGUGUGUGCAUACGUGUGUGAUCCUUUGUGUGCAUUAAUGUACAUACUGUAAAUGUGUAUGAGACGGGAGAGGUAGAAGUCAGGCUGAAAUGAGCGGUGGUAGUUGGAGAGGACUAAUUUUCAUGCUUGAUUGCAAGUAAAGUCCUAAAACACUGAUAAAAGUAAAAAACUAAGUAAAAGAAUAGAAUUUUAAUUUUUAGAGAAUCCUAGAUGUUUAGAAUACUUUUAAAAGCAGAGAAUUAAAACAAACCAUGGGGCCAAAUUAUAAUGCCCUGCAGGUCCAAGCAACUCUGACACUUCUUUAUGAAUUGCCACUAAUCGAAAAAUGUUGGCGGGAAUUACUGUCACUUGUUCUGAUUUGUAUGCAUGACAACCUUUUUCAUCUCAAAGAAUUCUAGACCCCACAAGGUCUUUACAUUAUGGGCAAACAUUUGCAAUUAUGAUGAACUCUGCCAGCUUAUCUCAAAAGGAACAGGUUCGUACUGAUGGACAAGUAGACGUUUUAAUGAAAUAAACUGCUUUGAGCUGAUGAAAUAAAGAUUGCUCCACCUCAGGGCACACUCAAAUUAAAUUAUCAAGAUGACUGCAUGCAUGCCGCUCCCAUUAACUCAGGUAUGGUAACAGCCUAAUCACACUGCACUUGUUCUUUAUAAUGUUUGUGAAGCAACUACUUUGGAUGACAGUGGAUGAUGCAUGCAAGGAGUUUUUCAUCUUCUGUCCUACUUAUCAGCUCUCUCCUGUGAUGGCUAAAAGCCUCCCAGAUUUUCUUUUAUUCCAUUCAGAGGGAUGAACUAAUGUUAAAACCAUGUGUUGUCCCAGGAGGCUGAGCGAGUGGACACUGUGAUCCAUGUAGUUUUAUGCGUGCAGAUAAACAUGAGCCCGACGGCUUGUCAGAAGCCUGUGGAAGGAGCCCAGAGUCCUCUGCCUUAAAACAAUGUUGGUGUUGGGGCGAGAGGGACUGUGAGUGGCAAUGGGAAACACCUGUGCUGGGGUGAGCAGCCGGACAGUUUGUUUGGUUGGAAGGGGGGUGGGGGUUUACCACUGUUAGAAAAGGAAGAUAAGGCAAGCGGGAGGUAUAAAGCCAGUUGGAAAGGCCACUACAUCGUAGCCAUUUGCUGCUGAGGAGUGGAGGUCUGAGGAAAUUAGUUACAGUAAUGUCUUGACUGUUGCCCCUUAAAUUUUAACACACAUGUGCUGGGAGUAAAGAGCCCAAGGCUGAGGGUUGGGAGGGCCUGUAUGUGUUCAUGCAUAUACAGACACAUUAGCUGAGACCAUCAGAAUUAUAGCUUUUGUUAAGGUAGAGAAAACACAGCGCAACGUUGAAUUUAGAAAUAUGACUUCAAUAUUUAGCUAUGUCUCCCAAUGGUAUUUUUGUACCGAUGCUUUCUAUUCUCCAAAAUUCUCUAAUGUCAGAAAUUUAAACAAAGGCAUUCUGUUUCAAUAUCAUAAUAUUUGAGUAAAGAUUUGGCUCUGCCGUGAAUGCAGAGCCUAUUUUUGGAUUUAGUCUCUCUCUGUGAGUAACAGCAGGUUUCAGGAAUAAGCACAGCCACAUAGUAAAAGCCCGUGGCAGCGUUUCAGACAAUCUCUGCAAUAACGGAUUUUUUUUUCUCUUUUUCAUAUGUAUUCUGACUUUUUGUUGGCUUGCAUGUCUUCAAGAUGUAUCGAUUAUCAAAAAAACCUUUUAGCAAUCCCAGCAGCUUAUAAAACUUAUUUUCCUUAUGGUAAAAGGCUUGUUACUUUAACAACUUUCAUUAAAAAGUUAAUAUUCAUGUUAAAAUGUGUUGAAAACGCCUCUACUCCAUACAUGUAUCAAUACAGAAUGAUUAAUUCAUUUAUUUCUGUAAAGCAGCAAAAAAAGGUUUAAACCAUAUAAAGUUAAGGCAUGUCGGUUUUAUUGGUUUUUAAAUAAUACCUGGCUGUGAAAACGUGUGCACGCAGUAUAAACAUGGGAAUCCCAAAUGAAACAAAGAACGCACAACACAGCACACGUUUUUACAGCCAAACAUCACACUGUGCUGGAUAUCCAUCAGCCUCUCCUCAGUGGCCCAACGCUCCCCCCCCUCAAGUCAGGUUGAUCAUUCCAUCUCCUGCCUCUCUAUCCUGAGGUGCCUGCUGUCAAUUUAUCAGACUCUUCCUUUUAAUUUCAUACUUUCCACAGUGUAAGCAUCCAUCUCCGCUGUAACACAACACCGUUAGAGGGUUCAGAAGAAAGCAGUGUGAAACAGGCUGGUGUGUAGCCCACAACUGACAGGAGAAGCGGGUUGUGAUGGAGUAAUGAUAUCAUGAAGGGGGAAAAAAAGUAUACUGUACACACAGUUUGCAGUUCUGGCUGUACAUUUUCCAUGUUUUGGUUUACAUCAAAUGGUUUCAGUAUUUGUAGUUAAUAAAAAAAUAAAAAUACCCUUUUGAGACAAAUUUACAUAGCAAUUAGAAUUGCUUCCAUAAUAUAAAUAUGAAGCGUAAUACACUGAUAAUAUGUCCUGCUGCUUAUAAAACCAUGAAACCACAGGCAAGCAUAAGAUACAGUCAUUUAAUGGAUAUUACUGUAUCUGUAUUCUGAACUGACAUUUACAGUAUCAGUGGGUGAAUCUGGCAGUCAUACAGUAUUAUAAUCUUAAGUAUUCAUAUUGAUAAAUGAUAAAUCAGAUGUAUUUUAGGAAUCGAGCGAGCAAUCAGUAGAUUAUAUUCAUUGGCAUCAGUGCUCUUCCCUUGAUACGUCUGGAAUUUGAAAAUAAAGUAAAUCUGUAUGAGAUUUGACACAUAAAAUAUCAUUAAAUUUAAUCUUAAUUUAGGAUCCCUCAAACCUUCUUUCUAUUGUCCUUUCCUGGUCUUUCUCUCUCUCUCGCCGUCUCUCUGUGUGCGUCUAACAAAAUUAAUUACUGUAUGUUUUAUUUCAUGGAGGUGUCAGGAUGAAAUGAUGAAUGGCUUGUAAUAUCAAAAGAUUAAAGACACAAUGCAAUGAAGGACGCACAUGCUUACACUGUGGUAGCGCUUACAUGCAGACACAUGUCCUCACACACACUCACACACACACACACAUGUACACAGACAGUCUCUGGGGCCAUUGAUAUCUAGUUUCAUAUUUGAUAUUAACUUACUGAGGGGGGGUGAGUAUGGCCACAAUGUCAUUACCAGUGGUAGAGGGGAAUAAUAGAAGUGAACUUUUCAAAAAGGUCUUUAUAAUUGCAGCCUGGGCCUUUCUUGAUAAAAUUCCAUAUUGAUAUGUACACUGGUCCCCUCAUUAUGGCCACAGAUGAAAAAGAGCAUUUCAGCGUUCUUUAAUGAGCGCUGUACCAGUGAAGGUCAUCUUAAUGGGGUUCAACUUGCUGUUGGGAGCCAGAGGUAAUAUUCUAAUGAGAAAGAGCCACUACACCACUCUAGUUAAUUCUGUAAUUGCACCCGUGGAUGCCAUUUUAUUGUUGCCUGUGCAGAGGUAUUGAAGUGCUUUGUUGUCGUUUGCAACAUUGCCUGUCCUCCCUGGUCUGGUUUGGUGGUCCAGUCAAAGCUUGGAUACAUGCAAUGUGUGUGUGUACACAGACACACUCUCAUUACCAUAUUUUAAAUCCACUUCGCACACCAUACCAUCUUUUAUUGGAAGCUACAGUUUAUUCAUUGCUUACUUAUGGGUGGAGGGACAUCUGAACCACCUAGCAAAAAGAAUGAAUAUUAACCUCAGCGCAGAGCAGUGCGGAGCGAGGACAGCAGGAAUGUUCAUGUGCAUUUGAGCAUGUGUUGGCUGUGUUUGUCUGUGCAUGGGCUGAUUUUAAAUUUGCCUGAGUGCAUGUGUGUGUCCAAACAGAAAAAAACCCCUUUAUGCCUGAGGCUGCUUCUCCUCUGAAUCUUAGUCUAUUCUUUGGAAUAACACAAACUUUUGCAUAUUUCAGUUACAAAGUGUAUUUCUGCAUGGAGUUUCCUCUAUAUUGUCAUUGCUAUUUAACAUUUUCAGAUUGUUAGCAGAUUCCUAUUUAUUAUAUUAAAAGAGUAGAGAGAGUGUCAGUGAGUGUUGUCAGACUCCAGAUGUACCAAAACAAAAAACAUUCUAAGUCAGUGAAAUAGAACAAGAGAACCAGAACUUUCUAACUCUACACCAUAGAUUUAUUUUUCACUUUCAAACUUGUAAUAUUCAGCCCCAGCCAACACUGACCCAAGUAACAUCACUUCCUGCAAUUUAUCCCAUUGUCAGGAAGAAGGGUUUAUACCAUCGUUUUCACAUAUUCAGGACUCCCCAAGAUGUGUAAAAUUGGUGGAGUACCCCUUUAAGCAUAUAUAGUUAAAUCGCAGAUUAUAUGAGGAGUACAAAGUAGAAGUAGGAAUUUAAUUGCCUGUUUUCCUUGAGUCCAUUCUCUGAAUAACUGUCCCCGUGAAGCAUGUUGACAAGAUGAAUGGACGGACAGAAGGCACGUGGCGCCCAUCUGCGGCUGCUCGGUGGCCUUUCCUCUGUAGCAACCCUCACAUCGGCUCUACACUCAGAUGAGAAACAGAGCAGUGUGUACUGUAGCUCUGGUACCACCCAUGUUUGGACUUACAGUAGCAUUUGGUCCAGUGCGUUAAUGUCUUGAGACAGUCAUAAUUUCGGAAAUACCAUCUGAUGUUAAUGUCUAUAAUCUGUAAUAGGUGCAUUUUUCUGGUUAGUAUUGUAAGAGGGCAACUUCAGAUUAUACAUGUCAGUAGUACAAGAGUGACUACUUCAAGAGUCAUUUGAUAGAAAAAUUGGGUCUCUAAAGAAAAAAAGGGUGAAUAACAUAAACUAAAACAGGCUUUGAGAUUUCCCCCAUUCCUCUUAUUAUUCCCUCUUUACAGGUCAAGUCAUUUUACACGAAUACUUCCACCAUGACUUGUAUGCACAUGGGAGAUGCAUGAGGUUAAAGGUCAUACAGCUUACCCCCCUUUCUGAGGCAAAAAUAACUUUCAGAGUCACGAAUCAUCAACAUUUGACUUCCCAUCCAAAACUAUUUCAGUCCAAGACAAUGAUGAAAAAGAUGUAACUAAAAUUUGUAGAGUGAAAGCUUCGGGGCAUACACUCUUUGGGGAAUUAAAAAAUGAGCAAUUUGUCAAAUUUCAUUCAACGUGCUCAAGUGUAGAUGAAUUUCAAUAUGUCUCCUUGGACUGACUGAAAUAGCAGAGUGUAGAAGAGAGCACAUACUCCAUAUGAUUCAGGUGGUUGUGUAAAAGUCUGAGAGUUUUAAAGGUGAUAAAAAAAGGCAAAGCAGUGAAUAUCAUCUUGUAGAUAAGACAGCCACCCUGUUUUCCACAGGCUACAUCCGUUUUAUCGCAUCUGGCAGCAAAUUAAGGCACGUGUGGCAGGGGGGAAGGACGAUUGAAAAUGAAACCUGAGGCUAAGACUGCAUUCAGCCUGACUGCUUUCUUCCCUCAACGCUGACAUUAGGCUUUGAUUCUCACAUGAGAUCCUCUGAUGAUGAUGAUGAUGAACCAUAAAAAAUGAUAUAGCUCAAUAAAAGUACAAAAAGGCGCGAAUUCAUAAAGAGGACCUGAGGGCCAUGUUAGGUUUGGUCCGUGCCAAUGCAUUUUUUCUCCCUCUGUGGGCUUUUAGAGAUGAUUACCUUGGAUAUUUAUGGCUGAAACAUUUUCUGAUUUGAGGGAGUAAGUGUGGCUGGAUGUUUGUGUCUGCUGGCUCUUACAAUGCUGCACACAUCCAGUAGAGUGGGUUUUCUCUUGCCAUUACCCAAGAUAUAUGACCUGUUAUCCAUGAAAAACCGGUAUAAUGUAGUAUUGUUGUCAUCACUGUCAUCAUAAAUAGCCCUGGAAAAAACCUACUGUAAUAAAUGAGCGGUGACAGAAUUGGGAAACCGACUGAUAUUGACACACCGAUUGAAAGGACAAAUGAGAUGGUUGCCGGAGUUUUCUCGGUCACCUUGAAAGUCCAAAAGUUACAAAUGGCUUACAUGCCUUCAUAUAUCAUAAUGAGACCAUGCAUGCCGAUACAAUGUAUUGACACAACAGUUUUGUGUCAAUACAUUGUGGAAAAUCAACUGCUAUCUGCAGCCAAGAAACAGCUGGAACAUAUCGGACCUCUCCUCUCCUCUCCUCAUUGAUUCUUUUAUCCUCUGCUCUCUAUUG